UGGAGAAGGCCAUCACCACG
RNAcentral lists this unclassified non-coding RNA (20 nucleotides) under Mus musculus (house mouse). RNAcentral describes it as "oocyte_clustered_small_RNA13570". Lineage: Eukaryota; Metazoa; Chordata; Mammalia; Rodentia; Muridae. The record is from RNAcentral.